This 87-nucleotide microRNA precursor is filed under the name Saimiri boliviensis boliviensis (Bolivian squirrel monkey). Its description in RNAcentral is "miRNA (ENSSBOG00000018235.1)". Lineage: Eukaryota; Metazoa; Chordata; Mammalia; Primates; Cebidae. The record is from RNAcentral.
GUGCUUCCUGCGGGCUGAGCGCGGGCUGAGCGCUGCCCGUCAGCGCUCAGAUUAAGGCUGACAGCGCCCAGCCUGGCGCAGCCCGCG